This is a non-coding RNA of Pelobates cultripes (western spadefoot toad), 229 nucleotides long. Lineage: Eukaryota; Metazoa; Chordata; Amphibia; Anura; Pelobatidae. The record is from the annotation of a GenBank genome assembly.
CCCUGUUCUGUUAUACUACCUUAACUUCUGCUAAUAAACACCUUCGUGGGUGUUCUAUACUAGAUGGCUAAAUUGUUUACUAUCUUGCUAUCGAAAUAAAAAACGGACUCCAAACAAAUAGUAUCAAAAAGGAAAAAACAAUUAAACAGUGAUCAUAGAUAAGUGAAGGGAGGGUUUUCCUUAGUGCAUAGUAGGUGGUGCACUGUGAUGUGCCAAAGGAAAGUGGUAG